UACCUGCAGCUCUAGUGGUGACCACUAUUAUUGGGCCUAAAACGUCCGUAGCCGGCUUAUUAAAUGCCUGGGUAAAUCGUACGGCUUAACCGUACGAAUUCCGGGUAGACUGAUAGGCUUGGGACCGGGAGAAGCUAGAGGUACUCUUGGGGUAGAGGUGAAAUUUUGUAAUCCUAGGGGGACCACCAGUGGCGAAGGCGUCUAGCUAGAACGGGUUUGACGGUGAGGGACGAAGCCCUGGGGAGCAAACGGGAUUAGAUACCCCCGGUAGUCCAGGGUGUAAACGCUGCUUGCUUGAUGUUAGUCGGGCUCCGUGCCCGAUUAGUGUCGGAGAGAAGUUGUUAAGCAAGCUGCCUGGGAAGUACGGCCGCAAGACUGAAACUUAAAGGAUUGGCGGGGGAGCACUGCAACGGGUGGAGCGUGCGGUUU
Molecule: ribosomal RNA, 429 nt
Filed under: uncultured archaeon
Lineage: Archaea
Description: bacterial SSU rRNA
Rfam family: Archaeal small subunit ribosomal RNA
Source: RNAcentral